GAUGAACGCUGGCGGCGUGCCUAAUACAUGCAAGUCGAGCGAACGGACGAGAAGUUUGCUUCUCUGAUGUUAGCGGCGGACGGGUGAGUAACACGUGGAUAACCUCUCUAUAAGACUGGGAUAACUUCGGGAAACCGGAGCUAAUACCGGAUAAUAUUUUGAACCGCAUGGUUCAAAAGUGAAAGACGGUCUUGCUGUCACUUAUAGAUGGAUCCGCGCUGCAUUAGCUAGUUGGUAAGGUAACGGCUUACCAAGGCAACGAUGCAUAGCCGACCUGAGAGGGUGAUCGGCCACACUGGAACUGAGACACGGUCCAGACUCCUACGGGAGGCAGCAGUAGGGAAUCUUCCGCAAUGGGCGAAAGCCUGACGGAGCAACGCCGCGUGAGUGAUGAAGGUCUUCGGAUCGUAAAACUCUGUUAUUAGGGAAGAACAUAUGUGUAAGUAACUGUGCACAUCUUGACGGUACCUAAUCAGAAAGCCACGGCUAACUACGUG
RNAcentral lists this ribosomal RNA (497 nucleotides) under uncultured bacterium. Its description in RNAcentral is "partial 16S ribosomal RNA". It matches the Rfam family "Bacterial small subunit ribosomal RNA", at positions 28 to 507 of the family's 1533-position model. The record is from RNAcentral.